RNAcentral lists this ribosomal RNA (253 nucleotides) under uncultured bacterium. RNAcentral's name for it is "partial 16S ribosomal RNA". It matches the Rfam family "Bacterial small subunit ribosomal RNA", at positions 524 to 776 of the family's 1533-position model. The record is from RNAcentral.
UACGGAGGUCUCAAGCGUUGUUCGGAUUCAUUGGGCGUAAAGGGUGCGUAGGCGGCGCGGUAAGUCGGGUGUGAAAUCUUGGAGCUUAACUCCGAAACUGCAUUCGAUACUGCCGUGCUUGAGGACUGGAGAGGAGACUGGAAUUUACGGUGUAGCGGUGAAAUGCGUAGAUAUCGUAAGGAAGACCAGUGGCGAAGGCGGGUCUCUGGACAGUUCCUGACGCUGAAGCACGAAGGCCAGGGGAGCAAACGGG